Molecule: small nucleolar RNA, 139 nt
Organism: Phragmites australis (common reed)
Lineage: Eukaryota; Viridiplantae; Streptophyta; Magnoliopsida; Poales; Poaceae
Product: small nucleolar RNA Z247
Exons: 1
Source: RefSeq, a predicted model, not a curated record
AAACUCGACGAUGAAGAACUGGUGUCCUACAUCCUCGCCGGCCUCGACAUUGACUACAACCCACUGGUUUCGACAAUUGCUGCACGAGUGGAGCCCAUCACAGUAGCCGAGCUCCAUGCACAAAUGCUUUCCUUUGAGA